This 21-nucleotide unclassified non-coding RNA is filed under the name Mus musculus (house mouse). RNAcentral describes it as "oocyte_clustered_small_RNA10968". The record is from RNAcentral. Lineage: Eukaryota; Metazoa; Chordata; Mammalia; Rodentia; Muridae.
CCCGGCACCGUGGCGCUGCGG